AAUAGUCGUCCCCGUGUUCCUCCUCAUCAUCAUCAUCAUCGUCUGCUACCUUACUUGGAGAUGCAGGUGUAAAACAAGAGAAAAUGAAGAAGGGUGCCCAGUCUAUGAAGAGAUACCGGAGGGAUCAGCGUGUCAACCUUCAAAUGGAAGCACCACUGGACCAACAAAUACAUACUGCAUGGUGACGUUUCCAGGU
This is a long non-coding RNA of Seriola dumerili (greater amberjack), 196 nucleotides long. RefSeq lists it as uncharacterized. The record is from RefSeq and is a predicted model, not a curated record. Lineage: Eukaryota; Metazoa; Chordata; Actinopteri; Carangiformes; Carangidae. The transcript has 3 exons.